UGUCAGGACAACACAUUUGAACACCUAUCCUAACGGUGUGUGGCUGAAGUGGGUAUAUCUUCAAGUAGUAUUUAACUUUUAGAUGUCAGGGUUAAAAGUCCCUGAAGUUUUGGAAGGAAGAGAUUCUAUUGAAUGCUGGCGGUUGAAACUCUUGGGACGCAAAUGGAUCACAUCAAAUAUCACGCUUUUCAGAAUCAAUACUUCCUAAAGGUUGGUACAGAGGUAGUUUUCACAAAACUUUGUCUGAAAUGAACCUCACUAUGGUUACAACCUGCUACAAAGUAACACUGAUGUAUAUACAGUAACAAAGGACAGAAAAGCGUACAACUUCAUCAUAAUAAGUCCUGAGGUUUGGUUUUGUAAAGAAUUUUGAAUAUAUCGGCCAUUGUAUGCUGUUGUUAUCGAACUUUUCGCGGUAAAAUCCGCCGUUUUGAAAAUGGGUCAAGCUCUAACAAGCACCCUGAGUAUUUCCUAUUUCGUGCGGCGAGUGUGGCAGUGGUUUAGUCGCCUGUCUUACCUUCUUUUCCAACGGAACUCUCUCAAGGUUAAAAAGCCAAUUAUUUCUUCGUGUAUUUCGUUGGUCAAUGAAUAAACUUUUAUUUGCUUUUGUUUCUCUAAUCACUCAGAUUCGACUAGCAUGUGAUGUUACAUACAUUGUAACAAAACUUAACACUAAGUAUAAUCUUGUCAUAGUUUUAAUAGGAUAUCUAAAAGAUGGUAAUGCUGCGGCACAUCCUAUUGAUAGUUUACGCAGUGAUUCAUGACCUUUAUUUCUUAUAGUAGUGUCAAAUGGUGGGGUGUUUCCAAAACUAAGAUUUAAGGGCACCCCUCUUACCUCAAGUGAUAUUCUGUCCGUGCACUGGAUUGCGAGUAUAGUUGUUAUUGUAAGACGAAAUUUUUUUUAUGCAGAGGGUGGGGAGCUUGUAAUUAAUGUUCAAAACUCUGAUUGGUCUAUACCUAUUAGUUUUGAUGGCCAGUUUUCUAAAUGCUUAUGAUGUGUGAAAUGCAUUAUUAGAAUGCACAAACUUCUCUUCUGCUCACUAUCAUUGGUAAUCACGACCAUGGUGCAUGAAAGUUGGUGAGGAUUAUCUUAGCAGUUCAAAGAGUUGGUUGUGAAGAGAAACAAAUGAUGGGAGAAUGUCCAAAAAAAAACCAAUUAAUCAGCUUAGUACAGAAGGCAUUGCUGAAAUGAAUGAAUCGUUGCUAUGUUAACAUCUUAUGUUUUUAAAGCCAGUUAAAGACAUAAUUAAUCAUGGCUUUAUUUGAAAUAGCUAACAUUGAUAUAGUUAAUUGCAUGGUAAUUCUUAGAUAUCAUUUGUAAAAACAACAAUGAGGUAUUUUAAUAAAAAUGGAUAUAAAUAGUUAAAAAA
Stylophora pistillata is the source of this 1370-nucleotide long non-coding RNA. RefSeq lists it as uncharacterized. The record is from RefSeq and is a predicted model, not a curated record. NCBI's taxonomy places the organism in Eukaryota, Metazoa, Cnidaria, Anthozoa, Scleractinia, Pocilloporidae.